UACAGAGGGGGCCAGCGUUAUUCGGAAUUAUUGGGCGGAAAGGGCGCGUAGGCGGCCAUGCGUGGCUUCCGUGAAAUCCCUCGGCUUAACCGAGGACGUGCGGAAGAAACUGCAAGGCUCGAGUCCGGAAGAGGGGGGCGGAAUUCCCAGUGUAGCGGUGAAAUGCGUAGAUAUUGGGAGGAACCCCAGUGGCGAAGGCGGUCCCCUGGGCCGGAACUGACGCUGAGGCGCGACAGCGUGGGGAGCAAACAGG
This 253-nucleotide ribosomal RNA is filed under the name uncultured bacterium. RNAcentral describes it as "partial 16S ribosomal RNA". It matches the Rfam family "Bacterial small subunit ribosomal RNA", at positions 524 to 776 of the family's 1533-position model. The record is from RNAcentral.